AACGAACGCUGGCGGCAUGCCUAACACAUGCAAGUCGAACGAGACCUUCGGGUCUAGUGGCGCACGGGUGCGUAACGCGUGGGAACCUGCCCUUAGGUUCGGAAUAACUCCCCGAAAGGGGUGCUAAUACCGGAUAAUGUCUUCGGACCAAAGAUUUAUCGCCUUUGGAUGGGCCCGCGUUGGAUUAGCUAGUUGGUAGGGUAAAAGCCUACCAAGGCGACGAUCCAUAGCUGGUCUGAGAGGAUGAUCAGCCACACUGGGACUGAGACACGGCCCAGACUCCUACGGGAGGCAGCAGUGGGGUAUAUUGGACGCUGGGCGAAAGCCUGAUCCAGCAAUGCCGCGUGAGUGAUGAAGGCCUUAGGGUUGUAAAUCUCUUUUACCCGGGAUGAUAAUGACAGUACCGGGAGAAUAAGCUCCGGCUAACUCCGUG
This 433-nucleotide ribosomal RNA is filed under the name uncultured bacterium. Its description in RNAcentral is "partial 16S ribosomal RNA". It matches the Rfam family "Bacterial small subunit ribosomal RNA", at positions 29 to 507 of the family's 1533-position model. The record is from RNAcentral.